UAUACAUGCAAGUCGAGCGGACAGAUGGGAGCUUGCUCCCUGAUGUUAGCGGCGGACGGGUGAGAAACACGUGGGUAACCUGCCUGUAAGACUGGGAUAACUCCGGGAAACCGGGGCUAAUACCGGAUGGUUGUUUGAACCGCAUGGUUCAAACAUAAAAGGUGGCUUCGGCUACCACUUACAGAUGGACCCGCGGCGCAUUAGCUAGUUGGUGAGGUAACGGCUCACCAAGGCGACGAUGCGUAGCCGACCUGAGAGGGUGAUCGGCCACACUGGGACUGAGACACGGCCCAGACUCCUACGGGAGGCAGCAGUAGGGAAUCUUCCGCAAUGGACGAAAGUCUGACGGAGCAACGCCGCGUGAGUGAUGAAGGUUUUCGGAUCGUAAAGCUCUGUUGUUAGGGAAGAACAAGUACCGUUCGAAUAGGGCGGUACCUUGACGGUACCUAACCAGAAAGCCACGGCUAACUACGUGCCAGCAGCCGCGGUAAUACGUAGGUGGCAAGCGUUGUCCGGAAUUAUUGGGCGUAAAGGGCUCGCAGGCGGUUUCUUAAGUCUGAUGUGAAAGCCCCCGGCUCAACCGGGGAGGGUCAUUGGAAACUGGGGAACUUGAGUGCAGAAGAGGAGAGUGGAAUUCCACGUGUAGCGGUGAAAUGCGUAGAGAUGUGGAGGAACACCAGUGGCGAAGGCGACUCUCUGGUCUGUAACUGACGCUGAGGAGCGAAAGCGUGGGGAGCGAACAGGAUUAGAUACCCUGGUAGUCCACGCCGUAAACGAUGAGUGCUAAG
RNAcentral lists this ribosomal RNA (788 nucleotides) under Bacillus subtilis. Its description in RNAcentral is "bacterial SSU rRNA". It matches the Rfam family "Bacterial small subunit ribosomal RNA", at positions 50 to 820 of the family's 1533-position model. Lineage: Bacteria; Bacillati; Bacillota; Bacilli; Caryophanales; Bacillaceae. The record is from RNAcentral.